UACGAAGGGGGCUAGCGUUGUUCGGAAUUACUGGGCGUAAAGCGCACGUAGGCGGAUUGAUCAGUUAGAGGUGAAAUCCCAGGGCUCAACCCUGGAACUGCCUUUAAUACUGUCAGUCUAGAGAUCGAGAGAGGUGAGUGGAAUUCCGAGUGUAGAGGUGAAAUUCGUAGAUAUUCGGAGGAACACCAGUGGCGAAGGCGGCUCACUGGCUCGAUACUGACGCUGAGGUACGAAAGUGUGGGGAGCAAAC
RNAcentral lists this ribosomal RNA (250 nucleotides) under uncultured bacterium. RNAcentral describes it as "partial 16S ribosomal RNA". It matches the Rfam family "Bacterial small subunit ribosomal RNA", at positions 524 to 773 of the family's 1533-position model. The record is from RNAcentral.